RNAcentral lists this ribosomal RNA (253 nucleotides) under uncultured bacterium. Its description in RNAcentral is "partial 16S ribosomal RNA". It matches the Rfam family "Bacterial small subunit ribosomal RNA", at positions 524 to 776 of the family's 1533-position model. The record is from RNAcentral.
UACGUAGGUGGCAAGCGUUAUCCGGAUUUAUUGGGCGUAAAGAGAACGCAGGCGGUCUUUUAAGUCUGAUGUGAAAGCCUUCGGCUUAACCGGAGUAGUGCAUUGGAAACUGGGAGACUUGAGUGCAGGAGAGGAGAGUGGAACUCCAUGUGUAGCGGUGAAGUGCGUAGAUAUAUGGAAGAACACCAGUGGCGAAAGCGGCUCUCUGGUCUGUAACUGACGCUGAGGUUCGAAAGCGUGGGUAGCAAACAGG